UAUCUCUGUAGAGUCUGCAUAUCAAUAAGCGGAGGAAAAGAAACUAACAAGGAUUCCCUUAGUAACGGCGAGUGAAGCGGGAAGAGCUCAAAUUUGAAAUCUUCAAGGUUUUACCUUGACGAAUUGUAGUUUAAAGAAGUGUUUUCUGUUGAAGUUUCGGUAAAAGUUCUUUGGAAAUAGGACAUCAUAGAGGGUGAGAAUCCCGUAUUUGACCAGUUAUUUUCCAGCUGUGUGAUACACUUUCAAAGAGUCGGAUUGUUUGGGAAUGCAGUCCAAAAUGGGUGGUAAAUUUCAUCUAAAGCUAAAUACUGGCGAGAGACCGAUAGCGAACAAGUACCGUGAGGGAAAGAUGAAAAGAACUUUGAAAAGAGAGUUAAACAGUACGUGAAAUUGUCAAAAGGGAAGCGUUUGACACCAGUGUUGUUUUCUCGAAAAUCAAUUAAAAAAUGGAUUGGAUUUUGUGUUGUAUUGACCUUUAUCAAGCUUUCUGCACUCUUUUUCAUUGUCUUUUUUAAUGCACUUUUCGUUUAACAAGUCAACAUCAGUUUCUUUUGUUGUAAAAAGGGUCAUUGGAAGGUGGCUUUCUUUUCGGAGAAAGUGUUUAUAGCCUUUGGACUUCCUGCAAUCGGAGAGAUUGAGGUCUGCAGCGUAGAUCCUUCUGGGAUUAGAUACAUUUGUGCUAAGUUAUAGCCUUUUCAUAGACAACUUGUUGACUAUGAUUCAGUCAUGUAGCUUACUCGCUUAUGCAUAUUUUACCUACGCUUAGGAUGUUGAACGCGCACAGAGUCUC
RNAcentral lists this ribosomal RNA (790 nucleotides) under uncultured Neocallimastigales. RNAcentral describes it as "partial large subunit ribosomal RNA". It matches the Rfam family "Eukaryotic large subunit ribosomal RNA", at positions 24 to 614 of the family's 3401-position model. Lineage: Eukaryota; Fungi; Neocallimastigomycota; Neocallimastigomycetes; Neocallimastigales. The record is from RNAcentral.